This 334-nucleotide unclassified non-coding RNA is filed under the name soil metagenome. Its description in RNAcentral is "partial contains 5.8S ribosomal RNA, internal transcribed spacer 2, and large subunit ribosomal RNA". The stretch from base 1 to 120 matches the Rfam family "5.8S ribosomal RNA", at positions 35 to 154 of the family's 154-position model. The record is from RNAcentral.
GAUGAAGAACGCAGCGAAAUGGGAUAAGUAAUGUGAAUUGCAGAAUUCAGUGAAUCAUCGAAUCUUUGAACGCACAUUGCGCCCGCCAGUAUUCUGGCGGGCAUGCCUGUUCGAGCGUCAUUUCAACCAUCAAGCCCCCGGCUUGUGUUGGGGACCUGCGGCUGCCGCAGGCCCUGAAAUGCAGUGGCGGGCUCGCUGUCACUCCGAGCGUAGUAGUUACAUCUCGCUCUGGGCGUGCUGCGGGUUCCGGCCGUUAAAAGCCUUAUUUACCCAAGGUUGACCUCGGAUCAGGGAGGAAGACCCGCUGAACUUAAGCAUAUCAAUAAGCGGAGGA